Molecule: long non-coding RNA, 1310 nt
Organism: Apis cerana (Asiatic honeybee)
Lineage: Eukaryota; Metazoa; Arthropoda; Insecta; Hymenoptera; Apidae
Source: RefSeq, a predicted model, not a curated record
AUUAUUAUCGUGGAUGAUAGAGAUUCGUUUGUCCACAGGAAAGAAGGAAAUUUACUCGUGCGAAAAAGAUUAACCUGUUAAUCUUAACCGAUCAAUCUUUGAGAUUAAGCUUAAUAAUUAUCUUUCAAUUAAGAAAUUUUUAAAUUCAGCUUGAUAUUAUAAUUGUAUAUUUUCUAUUUAUAUUUCAAGGAACAGUUGAAUAUAAUAUUAUAUAUAAGUGUUGAUGAAAGAUACGCCCCUCCUUAAGAAGGAUGAAAAGUUUCGGGAUGCGAGAAUGAAAAAAUUCAAGUGCAAGUUCCCCGCCGGUUGGCAUCUCGCUGAGCGACCUCGACACGCGUGUUCUGCCUUAAAGAAACGCACUCUCGGCAUAUAGCAACGUCACGGCGAAAACCGGCUGCAAAAGGGACACACGCUGUUUAAGGAAAGAAGGAGCGACUCGAAAGAGCGAGCAGUCCCGCCAGAAACCCGGAGAUUUUUCUUUGCCACCGCGAACCUUGUUCCCCACCUUAGGGACGGACCCGUUCGAGCAAAACUCUUCUGAAGACCUCCUCUUCCUACCGAUAUUAAUUCGAAAUUCUAUGGACGAGAGCCGGUGCCUUGGAUAACGAGCGAUGCGCGAUCACAUGGAACGCCGCACACUGGAACGAAAAACCUCGCUGUUCUUGCGAGGAACUGUCUAACAAGGGAUGUUUCGACAGUAUUACCCGAUACAAUUUCCAUGAAAUUUGGCAUAUCGAUGAAUGUGCACUAAGUGUUAUCAGAAUCAAGAAAAAAUUCUGGUUUUAAUGGCAGAGUAAUUUUUACAGGAUAUGAAAAAUAUUCAGAGAAAUAGUUUGCUAAAAAUUGCUUCGUAACAUGCAGAAUCUUUUCCAUCUACUUUUUAAUACCGUUGAAAAGAUGAGAGGAAUUUUAGGAAGAAGUAACAUGGUACAAUUCUGUUAUCGGUGAAAAAGGAAACGUCUCCAGCUAACAUUUCGAGAAUUCUUCGAAUACAUAUAUGAAGAUAUAUGAGAGCGAAGCAAAGAGAUAUAUAUACGAGAAAGAGGGAGAAGCAAAUGAUUGUGGAGAGAAUCAAAAGGAGUAACGUGAGAACGUAAUAAAAAAGUAGUAAAAUGGUUAAAGAAUACAAACUUCGUGUUGAAUGAUGAGAUUCCCUGAGUAAAAAAAAGCGAGAAUCACGAGAGAAGUGAAUAAUGGAAAAAUGAGAACCUUAAGGACAUUCUCAAUCGUGUACAUUCUCGUUAAUAUCCAUUUCCUGUGUUGCUAAAUAUAUUAUAAAUAACUAAUUAAGAUUAAAAUUAUAAAAUAAA